RNAcentral lists this ribosomal RNA (301 nucleotides) under uncultured bacterium. RNAcentral describes it as "partial 16S ribosomal RNA". It matches the Rfam family "Bacterial small subunit ribosomal RNA", at positions 509 to 808 of the family's 1533-position model. The record is from RNAcentral.
CAGCCGCCGCGGGAAUACGUAUGUCACGAGCGUUAUCCGGAUUUAUUGGGCGUAAAGCGCGUCUAGGUGGUUAUAUAAGUCUGAUGUGAAAAUGCAGGGCUCAACUCUGUAUUGCGUUGGAAACUGUAUAACUAGAGUACUGGAGAGGUAAGCGGAACUACAAGUGUAGAGGUGAAAUUCGUAGAUAUUUGUAGGAAUGCCGAUGGGGAAGCCAGCUUACUGGACAGAUACUGACGCUGAAGCGCGAAAGCGUGGGUAGCAAACAGGAUUAGAGACCCCUGUAGUCCCUGUCUCUUAUACC